AAGUCGUAACAAGGUUUCCGUAUUCGUACAGAGCUAGUGACACUGUCAGACACUAACAAGCAGAGGAAUGCCAGGCCACUUACCUCGCGCUACAACCGCUCUCUUCGCAGAGAUCCCUGAAUCAAAACUGUUCGGCGAUGAUUUACCAGGGAUUGCUACUUUCUAACAAAGGCGUGGUUCGCAAUAAAAGUUCACGGGGGGUUUAACGUUGGAUACGUGUUAAUGAUCCUUCCGCAGGUUCACCUAAUGGCGCAGUCACGAUCGCUAGAGGCCGACACGGCCGGCGACCGGGUCACCGGGCAUAGACCCCCCUAUCACCUUUGCAUGAAAACGGGCCUGCGCUUAAUUGUGCGGCCACCAAACUCGAACAACUGUUAACAAUGGAUAUCUUGGUUCUC
This 398-nucleotide unclassified non-coding RNA is filed under the name fungal sp. RNAcentral describes it as "partial internal transcribed spacer region". Lineage: Eukaryota; Fungi. The record is from RNAcentral.